This 440-nucleotide ribosomal RNA is filed under the name uncultured bacterium. RNAcentral's name for it is "partial 16S ribosomal RNA". It matches the Rfam family "Bacterial small subunit ribosomal RNA", at positions 338 to 795 of the family's 1533-position model. The record is from RNAcentral.
CCUACGGGAGGCAGCAGUGGGGAAUAUUGCACAAUGGGGGAAACCCUGAUGCAGCGACGCCGCGUGAGUGAAGAAGUAAUUCGUUACGUAAAGCUCUAUCAGCAGGGAAGAAAAAGACGGUACCUGACUAAGAAGGCCCGGCUCACUACGUGCCAGCAGCCGCGGUAAUACGUAGGGGGCAAGCGUUAUCCGGAUUUACUGGGUGUAAAGGGAGCGUAGACGGCUGUGCAAGUCUGAAGUGAAAGCCCGUGGCUCAACCGCCGAACUGCGUUUGAAACUGUAUAGCUUGAGUACUGGAGAGGCAGGCGGAAUGCCGAGUGUAGCGGUGAAAUGCGUAGAUAUUAGGAGGAACACCAGUUGCGAAGGCGGCCUGCUGGACAGAAACUGACGUUGAGGCUCGAAAGUGUGGGUAUCAAACAGGAUUAGAUACCCCUGUAGUC